This 201-nucleotide long non-coding RNA is filed under the name Elaeis guineensis (African oil palm). RNAcentral's name for it is "long non-coding RNA (EGUI_LNC064902)". Lineage: Eukaryota; Viridiplantae; Streptophyta; Magnoliopsida; Arecales; Arecaceae. The record is from RNAcentral.
GGAGCUCGGAUGGAAUCCGAAAGGUGGUUGACCACCGUAGAAACUUGGAUGAAGUCUGGUUACUGUAGAAAUCUCACUGUCAGAGAAGCUCGGACAUUGAUGAAGUCCGAAAGAAGUUCGGAGUAGAGUCAUCCAUGGUCGGAAGAAGUUUGGAAGGAAUUUAGAGAAUAGUCGAUCACUGUAGAAAAUCGGCUGGUAGUG